Long non-coding RNA from Arabidopsis thaliana (thale cress), 270 nucleotides. RefSeq annotates it as other RNA. The record is from RefSeq. The transcript has a single exon. Lineage: Eukaryota; Viridiplantae; Streptophyta; Magnoliopsida; Brassicales; Brassicaceae.
CUCGUGACUUCAAAGCCAAAGCUGUGAAACCAGAAAAAGAAGAAACCCAAAAGCAUAAUUAGAUAGAUAGACAGAGAAAGAGCAUAGAGAGAGGAAUCAGACAGAAGUUAAAAGGUGCUUGGCUGGGCUGUCUUCACUGAAAGACACGAGAAGAAAAUAUUACUACUUGUUUCUGUCACCAACGACAAUCACGGGUUUGUCUCCAUCUCCACUACUCUUACGAUUUCAUAUUAUCUAUAAUUAUCUACACAUGCGCCUCUCUCUAUAUAC